GUGUAAUGUUAUUUGUUUCUUAUAUAAAUGUGGAAUAAAUAAUUGUGUGUGUUAAGCAAUUGGAAAAUAAUUAUAAAAGUAAAUAAUCUAAUAUGUGUAUUAUAUUUCAUAUUGACAAUGAUGUCAUUUCCGGCAAGGACCGUUAGUUUUUUUUUGUGAUGCGAUAUUGGAGCGAAACCGUGUAACAUUUUUCCAGGUAAUUUUGUUAUUAAACUUAACCUAAAGAAAGUUACUGGACUACAGAACGUUAUUCGAGUUCAAAUCACGCUCACACAUGAAGAAGAAGCAAGAAAGAUGAAAAUUUAAACGGAUUGCUAACACAAAAAAGUCAAAAAACUCGCUGUGGAUAUGGAAAACGAAAGUGAAAGUGCGCGGACGGCGCGCAUUUGAAUCGAUGGCAAGGACAUCAUCAAGGAAGUCAUCGUCUGUGAAUGAACACUGAAAUGUUUCACGAUCGUGGACUAUGAAUAAUGGACAGUGCUUUACUCUCCAGUGGAUUUAAACUGCGUCACAGAGAACAACGUCGUUACUUGUAAAAGUUCCGCUCUUUGAAUGAGGUAACGGACUUUUAAAUCAGCUAUAGAAUUGACGCAAUGCAUGUUUGAAGAAGCUGAAAUGCAUUCGAUUGAUACAGAAAGGUAUCGUGCGUACUUUUAAUCGUCUGCAAGCAGUUUGUGCAUUGAUGGAAUUAAGAUGGCUGAAGGGGCGAGGACGUUGCAGUUUUUGAACACAAAAGGGCGCCUGAAACCCACUGAAAGAGCGUUAGAGGAGCAGCUUCACAGACGCAUUGGACUAAGAGCGAAAUUAUCUGCUCUUACCAGUAAAAGUAAAGACAUUGAAAAGUUGAUGAUUGAUGAGGAAAAUCUGCAGAAUGUACAAGAGUUGAUGCAACUUGACUUUGCAUACUUGCUAAUGUGGGGAUCUGUGUUUUCUUGUUGGUGGUUACCUGCACUGAUAAUCAGUGUGGGGAUCAUGUGAUCUGCAUUGUGUGGCUGCUUGUCUUGGGUCACAUGAGGCAUGUCACAUGACACAUUAGGAGAUUAUAAAGUUUGGCUUGUGGAGUUCACACUCUCUUGCUGCUGCCAUUUGCCAUUGCAACUAGACUCCCGUCAUACAGGGUGACUGCUAGAACAAUGUGUUCCACUCUUCAUGAAGGACACAGGUGACCGCGUGGCAUUUGAAGGACUUGUGGCCUCCUAUUGAGUUGCUGGGCUGCAGACACUCUGCACUGGAGUGCCCCAUUUUAUCUUCCUGGGUUAUUGUGCUGCGGGGAGUAUUGAACACUCUUGCAAAGUAGGCCAAUACUUCUUGUAUAUGUUGGUUUUAUGUGUGCUGGUGAAUGAAAUUGGGGAUUAAUGUGCAUUAUUUCUUUUUAAAGGGACCAGGCCAGCCACUGUUUUAUUGUCAGUGUACAAGUCUUUUUUUUUUAGUUUGUUUGUUGGUUGUUUUGUUUGCCUUUGGCUUUGUCCUUUUUUUUUUUGGUCCUUGGUCUAGUGUAACCCUGCCUUGACCAAGCCAGUGCGGUGGUCAUUGUGUUGGGAGCUGGCUGUUCUCCUCUUUUUGUCUCUGUAUAGGUUCUCUGUACAAGGCCGGAUCUGCACCUCACUACUGCUCCUUUCAGUUGGGGGCUGCACUGAGGGGACACUAUUUUGGUGUGUACUGGUAACAUGCAACACGGUGUGGUAUUUUGUAGUGGUAAUUACUGACCUUGUGUGUGCAGUGUUUGCUAUGUUGCAUGCUUGUAUGGUGUUGGGUUUGUUGUGUCUGUCUCUCUCACCAGGGCCUCCUAGGAGAGGAGCUGUGGGUGCCGUGCCGACCCGACCUUAUUAGUUUGAGAAGCUCCAGCCAGUUUCCCUUCGUCUCUUUUUCACAUUAGCAAUUGUACCUAUUCAAAAUUGUAAUAAAUUUGAGCUUGUGUACA
Molecule: long non-coding RNA, 1921 nt
Organism: Pangasianodon hypophthalmus (striped catfish)
Lineage: Eukaryota; Metazoa; Chordata; Actinopteri; Siluriformes; Pangasiidae
Exons: 3
Source: RefSeq, a predicted model, not a curated record